Molecule: ribosomal RNA, 468 nt
Filed under: uncultured bacterium
Lineage: Bacteria
Description: partial 16S ribosomal RNA
Rfam family: Bacterial small subunit ribosomal RNA
Source: RNAcentral
GACGAACGCUGGCGGCGUGCUUAUCACAUGCAAGUCGAACGGAAAGGCCCUGCUUUUGUGGGGUGCUCGAGUGGCGAACGGGUGAGUAACACGUGAGUAACCUGCCCUUGACUUUGGGAUAACUUCAGGAAACUGGGGCUAAUACCGGAUAGGAGCUCCUGCUGCAUGGUGGGGGUUGGAAAGUUUCGGCGGUUGGGGAUGGACUCGCGGCUUAUCAGCUUGUUGGUGGGGUAGUGGCUUACCAAGGCUUUGACGGGUAGCCGGCCUGAGAGGGUGACCGGCCACAUUGGGACUGAGAUACGGCCCAGACUCCUACGGGAGGCAGCAGUGGGGAAUAUUGCACAAUGGGCGGAAGUCUGAUGCAGCAACGCCGCGUGCGGGAUGACGGCCUUCGGGUUGUAAACCGCUUUCGCCUGUGACGAAGCGUGAGUGACGGUAAUGGGUAAAGAAGCACCGGCUAACUACGUG